GAUGAACGCUGGCGGCGUGCCUAAUACAUGCAAGUCCAGCGAACAGACGAGGAGCUUGCUCCUCUAACGUUAGCGGCGGACGGGUGAGUAACACGUGGAUAACCUACCUAUAAGACUGGGAUAACUUCGGGAAACCGGAGCUAAUACCGGAUAAUAUAUUGAACCGCAUGGUUCAAUAGUGAAAGACGGUUUUGCUGUCACUUAUAGAUGGAUCCGCGCCGCAUUAGCUAGUUGGUAAGGUAACGGCUUACCAAGGCGACGAUGCGUAGCCGACCUGAGAGGGUGAUCGGCCACACUGGAACUGAGACACGGUCCAGACUCCUACGGGAGGCAGCAGUAGGGAAUCUUCCGCAAUGGGCGAAAGCCUGACGGAGCAACGCCGCGUGAGUGAUGAAGGUCUUCGGAUCGUAAAACUCUGUUAUUAGGGAAGAACAAAUGUGUAAGUAACUAUGCACGUCUUGACGGUACCUAAUCAGAAAGCCACGGCUAACUACGUG
Molecule: ribosomal RNA, 497 nt
Filed under: uncultured bacterium
Lineage: Bacteria
Description: partial 16S ribosomal RNA
Rfam family: Bacterial small subunit ribosomal RNA
Source: RNAcentral